GAUGAACGCUGGCGGCGUGCUUAACACAUGCAAGUCGAACGAAGCACUUUAUUUGAUUUCCUUCGGGACUGAUUAUUUUGUGACUGAGUGGCGGACGGGUGAGUAACGCGUGGGUAACCUGCCUUGUACAGGGGGAUAACAGUUGGAAACGGCUGCUAAUACCGCAUAAGCGCACAGCAUCGCAUGAUGCAGUGUGAAAAACUCCGGUGGUAUAAGAUGGACCCGCGUUGGAUUAGCUAGUUGGUGAGGUAACGGCCCACCAAGGCGACGAUCCAUAGCCGACCUGAGAGGGUGACCGGCCACAUUGGGACUGAGACACGGCCCAAACUCCUACGGGAGGCAGCAGUGGGGAAUAUUGCACAAUGGGCGAAAGCCUGAUGCAGCGACGCCGCGUGAGCGAAGAAGUAUUUCGGUAUGUAAAGCUCUAUCAGCAGGGAAGAUAAUAACGGUACCUGACUAAGAAGCACCGGCUAAAUACGUG
This 481-nucleotide ribosomal RNA is filed under the name uncultured bacterium. RNAcentral describes it as "partial 16S ribosomal RNA". It matches the Rfam family "Bacterial small subunit ribosomal RNA", at positions 28 to 507 of the family's 1533-position model. The record is from RNAcentral.